This is a long non-coding RNA of Rosa chinensis, 210 nucleotides long. RefSeq lists it as uncharacterized. The transcript has 2 exons. Lineage: Eukaryota; Viridiplantae; Streptophyta; Magnoliopsida; Rosales; Rosaceae. The record is from RefSeq and is a predicted model, not a curated record.
GUAUUCUCUUACCAUGUUCGUCAGCCAAUUUGCAUGCUCGAAUACACCUAGAUCUGAGCCUUAGAUCAAAAAACGUUCUUCAUCAAAGUUGUUCUUCAUCAUCGUGUCUAUAACAUAUCCGAAAAUCAGCUCAAUCGGGUAUGUAUUGAGCAAACGUGAAAGUUAGUCAAGGGGGAGAUCAAUUGGAGCAAGCUGCUGAGGCCCAUGAUA